GCGGGCAUAACUCAACGGUAGAGUUGGAGCCUUCCAAGCUUCAAGUACGAGUUCAAGUCUCGUUGUCCGCUCCA
This 74-nucleotide transfer RNA is filed under the name subsurface metagenome. Its description in RNAcentral is "tRNA-Gly". It matches the Rfam family "tRNA". From Rfam's summary of the family: Transfer RNA (tRNA) molecules are approximately 80 nucleotides in length. Their secondary structure includes four short double-helical elements and three loops (D, anti-codon, and T loops). Further hydrogen bonds mediate the characteristic L-shaped molecular structure. tRNAs have two regions of fundamental functional importance: the anti-codon, which is responsible for specific mRNA codon recognition, and the 3' end, to which the tRNAs corresponding amino acid is attached (by aminoacyl-tRNA synthetases). tRNAs cope with the degeneracy of the genetic code in two manners: having more than one tRNA (with a specific anti-codon) for a particular amino acid; and 'wobble' base-pairing, i.e. permitting non-standard base-pairing at the 3rd anti-codon position. The record is from RNAcentral.